This 453-nucleotide ribosomal RNA is filed under the name uncultured soil bacterium. RNAcentral describes it as "bacterial SSU rRNA". It matches the Rfam family "Bacterial small subunit ribosomal RNA", at positions 26 to 473 of the family's 1533-position model. The record is from RNAcentral.
AGAUUGAACGCUGGCGGCAUGCCUUACACAUGCAAGUCGAACGGCAGCACGGGAGCAAUCCUGGUGGCGAGUGGCGAACGGGUGAGUAAUAUAUCGGAACGUGCCCAGUCGUGGGGGAUAACGCAGCGAAAGCUGUGCUAAUACCGCAUACGAUCUAUGGAUGAAAGCGGGGGAUCGCAAGACCUCGCGCGAUUGGAGCGGCCGAUAUCAGAUUAGCUAGUUGGUGGGGUAAAAGCCUACCAAGGCGACGAUCUGUAGCUGGUCUGAGAGGACGACCAGCCACACUGGAACUGAGACACGGUCCAGACUCCUACGGGAGGCAGCAGUGGGAAUUUUGGACAAGUGGGCGCAAGCCUGAUCCAGACAAUGCCGCGUGCAGGAUGGAAGGUCCGUUACGGGUUUAGUAAACGUUGUACGUUUUAGGAACCGGUAACGGUAAACGUUCGUACUUAC